AUUGAACGCUGGCGGCAUGCUUUACACAUGCAAGUCGAACGGCAGCACAGCAGAGGUAACUCUGUGGGUGGCGAGUGGCGAACGGGUGAGUAAUACAUCGGAACGUACCCUGUUGUGGGGGAUAACUACGCGAAAGCGUAGCUAAUACCGCAUACGCCCUGAGGGGGGAAAGCGGGGGGACCCUAAAUAGAGCGCACUGGGGAGUGCGUUGUAUUUAGGGCCUCGCGCAAUAGGAGCGGCCGAUGUCGGAUUAGCUAGUUGGUGAGGUAAAGGCUUACCAAGGCGACGAUCCAUAGCUGGUCUGAGAGGAUGAUCAGCCACACUGGGACUGAGACACGGCCCAGACUCCUACGGGAGGCAGCAGUGGGGAAUAUUGGACAAUGGGCGAAAGCCUGAUCCAGCCAUGCCGCGUGAGUGAUGAAGGCCCUAGGGUUGUAAAGCUCUUUCAACGGUGAAGAUAAAGACGGUAACCGUAGAAGAAGCCCCGGCUAACUUCGUG
Molecule: ribosomal RNA, 499 nt
Filed under: uncultured bacterium
Lineage: Bacteria
Description: bacterial SSU rRNA
Rfam family: Bacterial small subunit ribosomal RNA
Source: RNAcentral